Ribosomal RNA from Kwoniella heveanensis BCC8398, 121 nucleotides. The record is from Rfam. NCBI's taxonomy places the organism in Eukaryota, Fungi, Basidiomycota, Tremellomycetes, Tremellales, Cryptococcaceae.
AUCUUCGGCCAUAGAAUCGAGAAAACAUCGCAUCCCGUCUGCUCUGCGAAAUUUCAAGCCCGAUAUCGCUCGGUUAGUACCAUCGUGGGGGACCAGAUGGGAAUCCCGGGUGCUGAAGUUU